This 380-nucleotide unclassified non-coding RNA is filed under the name soil metagenome. Its description in RNAcentral is "partial contains 5.8S ribosomal RNA, internal transcribed spacer 2, and large subunit ribosomal RNA". The stretch from base 1 to 120 matches the Rfam family "5.8S ribosomal RNA", at positions 35 to 154 of the family's 154-position model. The record is from RNAcentral.
GAUGAAGAACGUAGCGAAAUGCGAUAAGUAAUGUGAAUUGUAGAAUUCAGUGAAUCAUCGAAUCUUUGAACGCACCUUGCACCCUUUGGCAUUCUGAAGGGUAUGCUCGUUUGAGUGUCAUUGUACUCUCACACUCCCGAUCUUUGCAUUGGGAGCAGUGGACUUGGGUUUGCUGCUUCACCGUCGCUUACCUCAAAUAGGUUAGUGCAACUCUUGGUUGGACAUAGUACGGCGUGAUAAGUGUUCUUCGCCGGUGCCUCGCAAAGAGGGUGGCCGAUCGGGAUGUUGUGCUCCAAACCGUCUUCGGACAAUCUCUGACGACUUGACCUCAAAUCGAGUAAGACUACCCGCUGAACUUAAGCAUAUCAAUAAGCGGAGGA